UCAUAUCUUGCCUAGUGAGACUCUCUGGGGGUGGAUUACAGAAGUUGAUUUAGUCUGAGGAGGGGCUGGGAGUAGGAGGUGAUGUUCUUUAGAGCUAGGCACCGGGCCAUUUAGGCAAGAAUGUGCAUUAGACAACAGUGUGUUUUUAGCUCAUCCAUCCAUUUCUCUGUACCUUCUCUCCCAGGCACAUUUAUCUUCUAAGUCAUGAGACUCUUCAGGUACUUCUGUAUCUUGACUUCUGGAAGUUUCUUUCAGGAAAGGAUUUGAUAAGGCCUGAGUUCAUUAUUGCUUAAAGGACGACAAAGUUUAGACUCACUCGUUAGAACAGAGUAAACCUUUUAAAGGAAAUAAAACUGAAAGUGGAAGCAACAGCAUUUUUGUUGGGUGAGUUCUUGACUUAGGGUAUCAAUAGCUUAAGGAUAUGAGGAGUUUUGUAGUGUUGUCAAACACUGCCAUCUUGCCCCUCCCCUCUGAAUGUUCCUGAGGGUAUCUUUGGCCAGGGUCACGUGCUUCAGUCUUUCAAACUGUCAAUCUGGCAACAUCUAUUAAAUUUCAAGCGAGACCAAAUGAAAAGGAGCAGUUUACAAUUGGAUUGCAUAAAGGUUAACAGUGUAAAAGAGGCAAAAAUCAUGAUAGGAUAGCGUUGGGACUCAGCUAUUGGACUUUUCACAAUCCAAUCUGUACAUACCUCAUAGUUGACUUAACCUUCUGCAUCCAGGAGAAUUGGCCCAGGACAAGUUUUUGCUUGUGACAGAAGCCCAGCUCCUUCCCUGCUCUUUGAAUAGCCAAACAGAAUUGACAGAUGAUUUGCUGCAUGCCACCAAGAGAAAUCCUAGUUAGUGCAUCUGAUGGACUACAGAAUAGCAAGGCUGCUUAACAUGAAUUUUAUUGCAUCUCAGCACCUGCUCCAGCCAAAAGUCAUUACGAUCUAGAGGAGGCUGUGCUCAGAUGAUCAUUAUUCCUGUUUCUUUGCAUUUGUAUUCUGCCGAGUACUGUGCCAGGGAAAAUUGAUGAAUGGAGGAACUGAUUGUGAGUGGCACGAACCUGUGGCUGCAAAUCUUCUGUGAGCCUGGAAUGUUAGUUGAGCUAGUGGGGAGCAGGAUUGUUUACGCAGCUGAAGUCAUUGUCUAUCACCCAGGCUUGUCUCUUGCUUAAGUUGUCUCAUUCCUCCUCUCCCUCCCCCUCCCCGUACCCUUUCCCUCCUUAACUUUUGUAAAGAUAUGUGCUUUAGUAAGAAAUAUGAAAGAAAGAAACAUAAUAACUGUCUUAGGGUUUUUAAUUGCUGUGAUGAGACACCAUGACCAUGACAACUCUUGUAAAGGAAAACAUUUAAUUGGGCCUGGCUUACAUUUCAGAGGCUUAGUCCAGUACUGUCAUGGCAGGAAGCAUGGUGGUAUACAGGCAGACAUGGUACUGGAGAGGUGGCUGAAAGUUCUACAUCUGGACAAGCAGGCAGCAGGAAGAGAGGGAGUCACUGGGCCUGGCUUGGGCAUUUGAAACCUCAAAGCCCACCUCCAGUGACACACUUCUUCCAAUGAGACCACACCUCCUAAUGCUACCCUAUACGAAUUCACAUAUGACUCUAUGGGGGGCAUUCUUAUUCAAAUCACCACAAUGACCAAAACAAAACCCAUCAGACAAAAAAGUCCAAUUGAGCUUCAUUCCCUGAUCAGCAGGCUAAUACUAGGAUUGUUUUUCUAACAUACUCUGUACCCCAUACUCACCUCCCAUGUGUGAAGUUUCAAACCCAUGGCCUUGUGCAUAUUAUGCAACAUUUUGCCACUGAGAUGUAUACUUAGCUCUCUCAAUAAAUCCAUUGGCAAGACCAGAUCAGUCAUUAAGAUACUGACAUGCUCCCUUACCAAAUGGUAUCUGUUGGCUGAGCUUAGACCUCUGAAAGUAUCUUGAUAGCAGACUGCUUUGUUGUUUUCAUUGGGUGCCUAAGGCUUUGAAGGUUGCCUCAAUAUCCAGAAAGCAAAGCUUUAGACCUUAUCUUCAUAGGAAGGCAGCAGAAGCUGCUCCAGCUGGGUAAGCAGGUGGUUUCAGGCCCAUUUCCCAACAGUUGCUAACUGCUACAAUGGCUUCCAAAGAAUCAAAGAGAGGCACUAACUGUGGGGCAGGAAAGAAUAUAACAAAAGUGAUUGCUUCUGCAUACUUUGGCUGUUGAUUUUUGUUUUUGAUGUGUAAACCAGGUUGGAAUCCUGGUAAAGAAGAAGAUGAAUGGAUACUCUUUGUUAGGUCAAAAUGCUUGCUUUUAUGGAAUGGAAUACCAGCUUGGUGUCUGAGUAGAGGAGAAAAAAGAGCAUGCACUGUCCUGGAUCAGGGUUCCCUCAGGCCUAAGUGAUGAUUCAAUACAUUUUGUGCAGUCUACUGUGACCCUUAUUGUCUUUGCUUGUUAGAAUAUAGAAUGGAUUACUACUGACUAUCAUUAUGAGUAGGUGUGUUUCUCUUGUUGCAGCUCCCAGAAGAGUUUGCAUUUUACUUUUUGCCUAUUUCUUCCCUUUACAAUUCAGGAAUCAUAACAAAUGUUUCAUCUCUUUAGCAGGAUUCCUGUAUUUUCACUCCUGACUAACAAAGGUCUUCGCUGACAGAAACCAUAUCCUCUGCACAUUACUGUGUGCAUUUCUUUAGACCCACCAUUUGUGAGCUGUGUGUGAUUGGUUCUGCACAGAUUAAAAUAGCACCUAGAGAGCCAAUUUAAGAUUCAAGAUGAGUGAACCUGAACAUUAGAGCCAUUCUGGCAAGAGCACACCUCGUAAAUCCCAUUGUUAAAUUUGUAGUGCUAGCAAUGGAAUGCACAGCUCGGCAUUUCACCCUUGUUAAAGCAAAGGUAAGUUGUAAGUGCCCUUAUACAGCUCCAAUGGGCAUAGAGACAAUGGAUUGGGAAAGGCUUUCUUAAAUCCCGUUGGCACUGUGAGGCACAAAUACACCUUCCAGAAAGGCUAGUGUCUUCUAAUUUUAGACUCUGUUAAUUAAAAGUGUGCUGUCACUUAUAAAAAUAAAUCUGCAUGUUCGAAAUGAAGUAGGGUACUAGAAAAAAAAUUAGCAAGCAGUUCAUUGAGAAGAUAUAGAAAAUAAUUGGAAAUUACUAGAGAUUAGAUUUGUGAUAGUCUGUAAUCUGAACAUCUAUUUUCCUCAAAAUUUCAUGUUCUUAGCUGGGUGUGGCAGCCCAUGCCUAUAAUUCCAGCAUACUGGAGUUUGAGACAGAGCACAAAGUGAGGGGACCAGAAUCUGAGGACAGCCAAGGUUGCAUAGCAAAACACUCACUCCAUUUUUAAAGAAACUCUGCUUUUAAUUAACAAACCUGUUAGCUCCACGUGAUCAUCUGUUAGAUCAGUAUUUCUCAAUUUUAUUGGUGCUUUGGGAUCUCUUAGGAGGGGUUGUAAAAAUGUGGCUGCCUGGGUCCUAUGCAGAGAUAUUCUAGUUUAUUUGGUCUAGAGUUUGAUCUGGGUAUCAUGGGUUUUACAAAUUUCCCUAGGGAAUUUUAAUGUGCAGGUUCAGAGCGUUUCGGCCAGAACCUCGUUGAACCAUUUAGUUUAAAAGAAGAUGCAUCAGGGACAUAGAUGCUUCCAAAACCUGUCUUAAUUGUAUGCAUCUAAUAUACAUUUUUGUCAAACUACAUAGGACCCAUAAUUGCUCCAGACCUCUAAGACUUGGUCGUAUUUGAAUGUUUGAUUGGAUACAUUUAGAAACAUGCUUGGAUUGCUUAAUUCAGUAUUAUAAGGCCUAAAAUUUAGAGAUGUCUAGAUUGUGUACAUGUUAUAUUUUUAUUAUCCCUUUAAGGAAACAAACCUCUGGCUCUCACAGGGUUAGUUGUUUUACUGAGAAAUAUCUUCCUGUCUACUCUUAGCAAAAGAUACUAUAUUUAUGUAUUAUAAAGUAGUAUUUGUUGCCUUUUCAAAAAGUGAUGAUAGUCUCUAGGUAGAAGAUAAUAGCAGCUGAAUGCUGAUGAAAAUUUGCCUGAUUUGAUUACAGUUCAUUAAGAACAGCAGCAUUUCUGAGAAUCAAACUUGCUUCAUACCAGAUACAAGGCGGAUAUCAUUUUGAUGCUUCAAACAGCCUGCAGAGUGAAGUCUAUAGGAACUUAGAUCAGGCAAUGGUUUUGAUAUAGUUAUUUAUCAUUGCUUGGCUACCUGUCAGCAUGAAGGACAAAUUCACUUCAUUAAUAACUUAAAGCUGCAUUGGUGAGACCAUUUAAAUGUGUUCAUUAAAGCUAACUGGGAAAGCUCCCUCCCUUUUCAGAAGUAUUUCACCCUUUUCAACUCAUCCCUGCCAAAUCUGAAUAGAAAAAUGUGAAUCUUUGCAAUGUUUAUUUUCCAAUGAGACACAAAGUUUCAAGACAAUGCAUGUCUAGGUGGCCUUCAUCUGUCAGGAGUCUCCCUCCAUCCUAGCAGUUUUGACAAAAACAUUAAGAGAAAACUAUGUGUCAUUUUGUCCUGAAGAGUACUCUGACGGUUGGUAGACAGCACUCUUUCCAUGGCACCAGCAACAUGUGUUUUAGAACUCCUAAUCGCUCAGUUUUGAGGGUACGGUGCUCUAAUACAGGAGGGUCCUGGUUUAUGGAAAAGAAUGAAACAAGCUCUCUUUGCUUUAUGAGUCUCAGUAAAGUGGGUCACAGGUAUUUUUACAGGACUGAUGUUGUCGUCCCCAAAGUCAACCCCUAAAGACACUGUGUAGACAUUGUUAUUGUUUGUUUUUCUUUUAGUAAGCUAUAUAUUCCACUUCUUCAAUUUCUAAGUCAUAAAGGAACAUAGGACCUUGAGAAUAAUUCCAAUUUUUCUGUGUUCUAGGCCGGGAGCACCUAAACCUUCCCCAGUAUCGGUGGCCAACAAUGGUUUCUCUGAAGGGAAGGAAAGAAGAAACUAGGAUUUGCCAAAGAGGAAGGGUGGAAUUAUUCGCUAGGGAAUUUAUCAGUCUGCUAUCCUUACAUUUUCUUCCAAUGUGAUCUAACCUUCUCUAAUCUUUUGCCAUACUAAAUCUGAAGCAUAACAAGUAUUAUUUCUCUUUAUCCCAGUAAUUCUAAAUGUCACUUGAUACUUUCCCCACCCCAUUCCUAUAGUCUAAUGUAAGGAUUAUGUCUUCUGUCCUUUCUUUUGAUUAAGGUAUGUUAAAAGUCAAGCUUAGAAAAUUAUGAGCUACAGUUGAAAGAAUGCCACAUGGCAGAUACUAAAUUCACUACAGCUAUGCGUGGUGGCUCAUUGUUGUUGUCAAUUUGUCUGGUUGAGUCCCUGUGAAAACGUGUUCCUAGGUGUAUUAGGUGAUUUACAGGAAGAGUUAAUGGAAGACGAGAUGGAAGACUAAGCCUGAACAUGGCCAAUACUAUUUCAUGGCUGAAUCUGUCCAGGACCAAAUAAAAAGAAAAAAGCAAGCUGAGCAUUGGUAUGCGUCUAUCUCUGCUUCCUGACUAUAGAUUCAUGGUGACCAGUCACCUCACUCUCCUGCCACUAUGCCAUCCUUACCACGGUGGACUAUACUCUUAAACUAAGAGUCAAAUCAAGUCCUGCCUUCCUUAAGUUUUUUUUUUUUUUUUUAAUUCAGGUAUUUGUCACAGUAAUGAGACAAGUAACUGAUACAUCACCCAUAAAAUCAUAGUGAUCACAUACACAGCUGAGAAAAUUAAUUGUACUUUAAGUGAUAUGACUCACCUCCAAAAUUAAAAGAAUCUUCAAAAAUAGGAUCAAAUAUAGGUUCUUUUGAAAAAUAAAUCUGAUGCUCUCUAGCACAUGUCCUACUUCCUACUUACUCACCUGUGGUUUUUAGCAAAGACAGUCAGGUGUUUAUAGGUUCCUACAUCUCUUUCCUCUUCUAUCUACCUAGAACUUAUCUAGGACUUGCCUUCUUACCUUUCUAGAUUGGGGAACCCGAGGUUGGAGUUUUUGUGCCUCUAAGCUCUAUGUUGAAAUCCCACCCCCUCAAGUGAUAAUGUUAAAGGAUUUGGGAAUAAAAUUGGGCUGUGAAGGUGGAUCCCUCAUGAAUAACACUGACACAUUUAUAAGAGAUUCAAGGAAGACUCUAUACCCCUUCUCUCAUGAAAGGUCAUAGAGGGAAGCAUGCAUUGUGAAUCAGAAAGAAGACCACACUAGACAUCAGACCUGCUGACACCUUGGUCCUGGAAUUCCCAACUUUUAGAGUAUUAAAAAAUAAGUUUCUCUUGCUUCUUAUCCCUUCAUUUUGUAAUAUUUUUUACAGUAGCCUGAAUGUAAUAGUGUAGAUGUGUGGUUAGAUUUGUUUAGUGGAAUAAGAUCAGGAUUGACAUUUCACAUUUAGGUCUUUGCUCCAUUUGGAGACUAAUGGGACCUCGUAAAAUUAAAAAGUUUGGCACAGCUACAGGGACAGUCGAUCAAGUGAAGAGGAAGUCAACAAAAUGAGAGAGAAUAUCUGUCAGCUAUACAUCCAGCAGAGAACUAAUAUCCAGAAUAUAUGAAGAGAUCAAGAAAAAAAAAACAGAGUCAAAAAACAAAUGGCACAUUCAAAACAUAGGCUAUGGAUCUAAAAAGAGAGCUCUCAAAACAAAAGAAAAAAAGAGAAUCAGGAUGAUAUCAGCCAGUGCCAAGACUGGCACCUGUUCCUACAGGAUCCCAUCUCCAGUAUCUUUUGUCUCUUCUUUGGAGACUUCAGAAACUAAUUAAAUUACUCCAGAAAUCUGAGUUCUAUGUGCUAGGCUCUGGAUUCCUGAGCGAGUCCUUGAAAGAUAGCUGUGGAAGAGGCUCAUGCAGCUUUCCUGGUCUCCAACUUGAAGGAGAAGCCAAGUUAGGUGUGUUAAGUGGAACUUUAUGGUUUCUUUUCAUCUGUGGAAUGGCUUCUUUGAUCUACAGAGGCUUGAGCAAGUAUGGUUUGUACCUCAAUACAAAUGCAUUUUCAUCUAAUAAAUCCCUUUAGUUUUUCUCUUUCAAUAAUGAAGCAAAAUACCAUUACUUUAACGAUAGAGGACCCUGAUUGAUUUUCUCCGGGUUUCUAUAUUGCUCUUCUUUUUUUUCCUCCCAUUUAAUUUAAUUGUAUAUAAUCCCUGCCCUUUGACAAAUUUCUUCUGAGCACCUUACCUCAGUUUCUUAAUUAUGAAAGACAAAUAAUAUUGCUUCCCCUCUUACUACUCAGAGCUGUCAAAAAGAUAAACGAUUUGAUAAUCAUUAGAGGAGGGAUGUAUAUGCAUAAAGUGUUGUUAUUAUGUUAGUCUCAUGAGAAUAGUAAAAAGUGUUUCUGUGCUGAGGAUCUGGGCAAUGCUACAGAUGGAAGAUUUAUGAUUUGCUCGGUGAUUUGUUUUCCUUUGUGGAAUUGGAGUAGUUCCUUUAGGUUACAUAGAGAACCAACUUAUCUUAAAACCUGAAGGCAUCUUAACAUGUCUACAUGAAUAUUUAAAAUGCUUCAGGGCAUGGAUAUUAUGACUGUUAUAUUAGGCAAUGUGAUUGAUUUAGAGAAAAGCAUGGGUGACUUUUCAUGUGGUUUGAUAUCACAGAGCACAUGUGCAGUUAAGUCUAGCUUUGAUAUGGAUAAAAAUGUAGGAUACUCCACCUAGGGGCUUAGUGACCCUUACACAGAUAAUAUGAAUAAUAGUGGCUCUUACCAGGAGAUCAAAGAUUUAAAACAUUUAGUUCCAGUGUAAGCGUGUGGUAUUAUUUAAAGCACUGUGCUCUCUAGUUGUAGUUAGCUAUUGAAUUUGAGUAAUUAUUGUAAGGAGUUCUUGGCUUUUGAAUUUGGGUGAUUAUUGUAAAGCAUUCUUUGUGACCUUGCAGAACCAUUUUACUUACAUAAGAUGCAUUUAUUUUAACACUGAGAUGAUCAUAACGUGUCCUCAAAUAUAUUUAAUCUGUUUCCUUAACCAUAUCAGUCAUGCAUUAAAGUAGAGUAAUAAAAUUAAUCACAGAAGUACUGGUUCUGUUGCUACAUAAUCCACCUGACGUAAAGAAUUUACAUCCCCCAGUUUCUCCCAUGUUAUUCUGACCAUUCUUAAAAAGUCAGUCACUAUUUGUUCCACUCACCCUUACACUUGGCCACCCCCAUGACACCGCCCUUUCUUUCUCUUUCUCUUUAGUUUCUGAAUGAUGUAUCCCAGUAUCCAAAGCAGGAGCCAGGCUCUGAAUGAGUCUCAAAAAUGUCUCUUGUUGAUUCUGAUACCUGUAAAUGUGUUCUGAGAUUAACCAACACAGUCUCAUGCUCUUUGUUGCAGAAGUAGAUAAAGGUCUAAAUAGAAAAGGGUAGAGGUGUGUGUGUGUGUGUGUGUGUGUGUGUGUGUGUGUGUGUGUGUGUAUGUUUUACAAAUGGGUAAUAUUAGAACUUAUUUCAAUGUCAAUGGGAGUUGUUAGGUAAAAUAAGUAAGGUCCAAAGAUGUUAGAUGAAGCACUGGAAACCUUCCCAUUGGGGAAGACACCUAGAAGCCUGUGGAGCUAACUCUCUUUGGCCAGCAGGGUCGGUUCUGGUACAUUUUCUCACACUGGGAUGUUGGCACAGCGAGACUUCUGUCUGCAAUCUUGCCACUUCAUCUGUUCAACUCCAUUUCUAUUUCCCCCUUUAAAUCUUCCUUGUUUCUUGUCCACCCCAGUUUGGUGGGUGUAUUUUACCUGUGUUCAUAUAGUAGUCAAAAGAUGUCCUCAUUAUCAAGCUUUUGGUAUUGCAGUUGUUAAUAAUUUACUUCGCUGUGGCUUCUAUUAGGUUGUAACCUCCACAAGGAUCCUCUAAUUCAUUUGUUUCACUGUAGUAAAAUGUUCCUGACAAAUUAUUGAGCACUUUAGUCAUUUUAGGUAUGGUGUUCUGAGGUGUUUAGUAUCUUCACUUUGUGAAACUAUCUAUCUCCAGAAAUUUAUUACCUUCAGAGAUGAAACUCUUCCUGACUAAGCUCUAAUCUCAUUUUCCCCCCACCCACCUCCCAGGGAACAUAUCUUGAAGUCUCAGAGAUGAACACAGUGCCUGUCAUAUCAGAGUAGAGAAUGUGGGUUGAUAUUUUAAAAUUUGGAAUGACGAUUUCAUCUCUAUACUAAUCAGAUGAAACUUAAUAGAUCUGUUUGAUGAGAUUCCCCGGGGUUGUCUGCCUUUAUGGAUCUUCCUACAUCUUACCAAAAUUUUAUUAUGACUACGUACCUGAGUUGGACUUGUCCUGAAUGCCUGCUCCCUGAGGACUAGCUUUCAUGGUACCACGUGCUUCCAAAUGAGUGAAGCAAUCAACAGUCUCGCCCAGCGAUAACACCUAUGAACCACCGCAAUGACCAGCAUGGCUUGAUAACAUAUACAUAAAAUAAAAAUAAAUUUCUUGCUAUUUA
Long non-coding RNA from Peromyscus californicus insignis, 9251 nucleotides. RefSeq lists it as uncharacterized. The transcript is spliced from 3 exons. NCBI's taxonomy places the organism in Eukaryota, Metazoa, Chordata, Mammalia, Rodentia, Cricetidae. The record is from RefSeq and is a predicted model, not a curated record.